GAUGAACGCUGGCGGCGUGCCUAAUACAUGCAAGUCGAGCGAACGGACGAGAAGCUUGCUUCUCUGAUGUUAGCGGCGGACGGGUGAGUAACACGUGGAUAACCUACCUAUAAGACUGGGAUAACUUCGGGAAACCGGAGCUAAUGCCGGAUGAUAUUUUGAACCGCAUGGUUAAAAAGUGAAAGACGGUCUUGCUGUCACUUAUAGAUGGAUCCGCGCUGCAUUAGCUAGUUGGUAAGGUAACGGCUUACCAAGGCAACGAUGCAUAGCCGACCUGAGAGGGUGAUCGGCCACACUGGAACUGAGACACGGUCCAGACUCCUACGGGAGGCAGCAGUAGGGAAUCUUCCGCAAUGGGCGAAAGCCUGACGGAGCAACGCCGCGUGAGUGAUGAAGGUCUUCGGAUCGUAAAACUCUGUUAUUAGGGAAGAACAUAUGUGUAAGUAACUGUGCACAUCUUGACGGUACCUAAUCAGAAAGCCACGGCUAACUACGUG
Molecule: ribosomal RNA, 497 nt
Filed under: uncultured bacterium
Lineage: Bacteria
Description: partial 16S ribosomal RNA
Rfam family: Bacterial small subunit ribosomal RNA
Source: RNAcentral